RNAcentral lists this ribosomal RNA (253 nucleotides) under uncultured bacterium. Its description in RNAcentral is "partial 16S ribosomal RNA". It matches the Rfam family "Bacterial small subunit ribosomal RNA", at positions 524 to 776 of the family's 1533-position model. The record is from RNAcentral.
UACAGAGGGUGCAAGCGUUAAUCGGAAUUACUGGGCGUAAAGCGCACGCAGGCGGUUUUUUAAGUCAGAUGUGAAAGCCCCGGGCUCAACCUGGGAAUUGCAUUUGAAACUGGGAAACUAGAGUGUGUGAGAGGGGGGUAGAAUUCCAAGUGUAGCGGUGAAAUGCGUAGAGAUUUGGAGGAAUACCAGUGGCGAAGGCGGCCCCCUGGCCCGAUAUUGACGCUGAGGUGCGAAAGCGUGGGGAGCAAACAGG